UACGUAGGGGCCGAACGUUGUCCGGAGUUAUUGGGCGUAAAGCGCGCGCAGGCGGCCUCGCGCGCCCGACGUGAAAGCCCCCGGCUUAACCGGGGAGGGUCGUUGGGGACGGCGGGGCUUGAGGGCGGGAGAGGUCGGUGGAAUUCCCGGUGUAGUGGUGAAAUGCGUAGAGAUCGGGAGGAACACCUGUGGCGAAGGCGGCCGACUGGGCCGACCCUGACGCUGAGGCGCGAAGGCGUGGGGAGCGAACGGG
Molecule: ribosomal RNA, 253 nt
Filed under: uncultured bacterium
Lineage: Bacteria
Description: partial 16S ribosomal RNA
Rfam family: Bacterial small subunit ribosomal RNA
Source: RNAcentral